UUAUUGGUGGUUCAGUGGUAGCACGCUCGCCUGCCACGCGGGUGACACGGGUUCGAUUCCCGACCAAUGCA
Molecule: transfer RNA, 71 nt
Filed under: Angiostrongylus costaricensis
Lineage: Eukaryota; Metazoa; Nematoda; Chromadorea; Rhabditida; Metastrongylidae
Rfam family: tRNA
About the family: Transfer RNA (tRNA) molecules are approximately 80 nucleotides in length. Their secondary structure includes four short double-helical elements and three loops (D, anti-codon, and T loops).
Source: Rfam by way of RNAcentral